This 28-nucleotide non-coding RNA is filed under the name Mus musculus (house mouse). Lineage: Eukaryota; Metazoa; Chordata; Mammalia; Rodentia; Muridae. The record is from RNAcentral.
GCAACACUUCAGUCAAGAAAAGUCUGCC